UAGUCGUCAGACCACGUGGAGCCAACAGGCUAGGCUGUGCCCGCCUCACCCCUCCAGGCAGCUCUGCUCAUGGUGCCCCAGGAGGGAAGGCUGAAAAACAAGGGCUCAACCACUAUCGUAACCAGGCCCUGGCAGGAAACAUCCAGCAGUCACAAGAUGGGCUUUUGCAGUAUCUCUGGGCGUGGCAUGAUGUGGGCCAGCAGGCACUGCAGAAAUCCAAAUUAAAACCAGAAUGGAGAACGGGGAGAAGUAACCGGUAUGGUAAUGGUAAAUGGUUCUGAUCCAGCCAGCAAGGAUAUAUUUCAUUUCCCAAGUCCAGAUUUUUUCCACAGGGAAUACAUCUGUGGUGUUGCUAGAGUUCCAUCAGAACUCACCCCUUGGUAUUCAACAUGUAUUUACUUCCUUUGAGGAAUUUAAAUUCCUUAAAUUUAAGUAAAUUUAAAUUUACUUUCCUUUAAGGAUUUUAAUGCGCCGAAAGAUAGAAUUUAUUCACUCCGUAUUUCAACAAAACGCAAACAGAAAUGGUUGCACAGCCCAGGACCUAUGAUGGCAGCCAGACCUAAGUACAUCGGAGUACUCACCAAGCGCCAGGCACAGUUCAAGGACUUUCACACUUAGGCCUUUACGCCUCACAAUGGCACUUUGUGCCACUGCUGUCUUCAUGUUGUGCCUCAGGAAACCAGGGCAGUGUCACCCAGAGCCAAUCCAGAUGGGCAAGUUCAGAGCCUGUGGCCUAACCUAGCCAGUCAGGCGCUAGCCCUGAAGCUCCUCGGGCUUCCCGCCCCACCCUGACUGACCCUGAUAAAGCAGUGACGACACUUAGCAGCUGGUGAUGGUUUGCUGGGAGAGCCUCCAAAACUCAAGUGGGGGCCUGCCUGAUGCCGUCACUCUGGUCCUGGCCCGGCGCUGUACGAGUUAGUCCGUGCCUUAGUAAAACCCCAAACGCUGAAGGACGUCUGUCUUUGCCUGUUCGUGAUCCACGCUUCAGGACCCUUCAGAAGGGGCCCAGGUCUCACCAUGGGUUUUCGGUACGGCCGACGUAGAGCUUCUUUUCGUUCUCUGUGUUAUUUUGCUUUUGGGAGUCAAACCUUGUAAGGACAGGGCACAUCUGGGGGUGGGGGGGACACCAAGAUACCCACCCUCGCGUACUCCAGGGGAGGCUGACCGCAGGAGAUAAUGACCACCAGCACCUGAGUGCUCCUGUGGACCCUAGGUCAAGCACAUCAGAAGCAUUCUUUCAUUUAACCCUCACGGCCACUUUGUGAGGGUAGCACUAUUAUUCUCCUCACUUCAUGGAUGAGGACACUGAGGCUGAGAGAAGGGACUCCCCGGAGACUACCAGCGACAGACAGAGCCAGGAUUUUGAACUCAGGCAGUCUGCCUUCAGAACCCAAGCAUAAAGUACUCUCUUAUUAGAAACAGAAUUCUGCUUUCUUCAGCCAGGGUCAGAGCUCCACUCCGAUCAUCUACUUAGUCUCGUUCUUCAAACCUCUCCCAGCUAAGAUGAUAACUCUGCGAGCUGAGGCAGCUGCUCCCAGCGGCACCGGCUUUCCUCCACCACUUGCCAGUCUGCUCGGCAUGUCAGUCAGUUGGAUCAAAUUUUCCCCGGAACCAGCUAUCCGUUGUGGCCCUUUUCUUCCAACUGGUUUACUGAAAUUUUGAGAAGCCUAAAACUCAACUUCUUUGAAAGCCAGGCUCUCAGGGACAUCACCUAUCGUCGUGCUGGCUCGACUGGUCUUCGUCCUGUUCCCCACCUCGUAGGAGCCCAGCUGCACAUUCCCUCCAUGUCGGGACCACGUUUUCCUUCAUCUGCAGCUUGCUUCUAAGGCCCACCCUGACCAAGCUAGCUGUGUCUGAGAUUUAUAAUUAAGGCCGGACAUAUAAAGAGAUAUGGUAAAGGGCAAUAAAAAAAAGGAAGGCAUCCUAACUUAGAGGGCUUACUACCCUCUUCGACCUUAUCACUCAACUUCGUUCCCAUUUUCUUAUUCUUGUCUCUUUCCUAUCUUAGAAAGGAGUGCCUUUAAUAAAUGGGAUGUUGUUCUCCCAGUA
Long non-coding RNA from Herpailurus yagouaroundi (jaguarundi), 2049 nucleotides. RefSeq lists it as uncharacterized. The record is from RefSeq and is a predicted model, not a curated record. The transcript has 4 exons. NCBI's taxonomy places the organism in Eukaryota, Metazoa, Chordata, Mammalia, Carnivora, Felidae.